CAUCGCGAGAUGGAAUCUGAAGGAAGCCCGAGGCAAACCGCUGAUCCGAUGGACAAGAACCACAUCAGGCAUACGAAGAUGGGUAAGGUUGCAAACCAAACUGAAGCCCUAAGCCACACGGAAUCUGAGGUGUAAAUGUGGCGGAUACAUGGCGGGAAAGAAC
This 163-nucleotide non-coding RNA is filed under the name uncultured Sutterella sp. Lineage: Bacteria; Pseudomonadati; Pseudomonadota; Betaproteobacteria; Burkholderiales; Sutterellaceae. The record is from RNAcentral.